AUUGAACGCUGGCGGCAGGCCUAACACAUGCAAGUCGAGCGGAUGAAGGGAGCUUGCUCCUGGAUUCAGCGGCGGACGGGUGAGUAAUGCCUAGGAAUCUGCCUGGUAGUGGGGGAUAACGUCCGGAAACGGGCGCUAAUACCGCAUACGUCCUGAGGGAGAAAGUGGGGGAUCUUCGGACCUCACGCUAUCAGAUGAGCCUAGGUCGGAUUAGCUAGUUGGUGGGGUAAAGGCCUACCAAGGCGACGAUCCGUAACUGGUCUGAGAGGAUGAUCAGUCACACUGGAACUGAGACACGGUCCAGACUCCUACGGGAGGCAGCAGUGGGGAAUAUUGGACAAUGGGCGAAAGCCUGAUCCAGCCAUGCCGCGUGUGUGAAGAAGGUCCUCGGAUUGUAAAGCACUUUAAGUUGGGAGGAGGGGCAGUAAGUUAAUACCUUGCUGUUUUGACGUUACCAACAGAAUAAGCACCGGCUAACUUCGUG
This 484-nucleotide ribosomal RNA is filed under the name uncultured bacterium. RNAcentral describes it as "partial 16S ribosomal RNA". It matches the Rfam family "Bacterial small subunit ribosomal RNA", at positions 30 to 507 of the family's 1533-position model. The record is from RNAcentral.